This 94-nucleotide ribosomal RNA is filed under the name Mustela putorius furo (domestic ferret). Lineage: Eukaryota; Metazoa; Chordata; Mammalia; Carnivora; Mustelidae. The record is from RNAcentral.
UAUCACCCUGAACGCGCCGACCCCGGCUGGUUUUGGAAGCGAAGCAGGGUCAGGCCUGGUUCGUACUUGGAUGGGGACACUGGGGAACGUGGGG